Molecule: ribosomal RNA, 261 nt
Filed under: uncultured prokaryote
Description: partial 16S ribosomal RNA
Rfam family: Bacterial small subunit ribosomal RNA
Source: RNAcentral
UACGUAGGUGGCGAGCGUUGUCCGGAUAUACUGGGCGUAAAGGGAGCGUAGGCGGACUUUUAAGUGAGAUGUGAAAUACCCGGGCUCAACUUGGGUGCUGCAUUUCAAACUGGAAGUCUAGAGUGCAGGAGAGGAGAAUGGAAUUCCUAGUGUAGCGGUGAAAUGCGUAGAGAUUAGGAAGAACACCAGUGGCGAAGGCGAUUCUCUGGACUGUAACUGACGCUGAGGCUCGAAAGCGUGGGGAGCAAACAGGAUUAGAUA